GGUCGCGGCGUGAAUAUAAUGCAAGUCGAGCGAAUCUGAGGGAGCUUGCUCCCAAAGAUUAGCGGCGGACGGGUGAGUAACACGUGGGCAACCUGCCUGUAAGACUGGGAUAACUUCGGGAAACCGGAGCUAAUACCGGAUAAUCCCUUUCCUCACAUGAGGAAAGGCUGAAAGACGGUUUCGGCUGUCACUUACAGAUGGGCCCGCGGCGCAUUAGCUAGUUGGUGAGGUAACGGCUCACCAAGGCCACGAUGCGUAGCCGACCUGAGAGGGUGAUCGGCCACACUGGGACUGAGACACGGCCCAGACUCCUACGGGAGGCAGCAGUAGGGAAUCUUCCGCAAUGGACGAAAGUCUGACGGAGCAACGCCGCGUGAGUGAUGAAGGUUUUCGGAUCGUAAAACUCUGUUGUUAGGGAAGAACAAGUAUCGGAGUAACUGCCGGUACCUUGACGGUACCUAACCAGAAAGCCACGGCUAACUACGUGCCAGCAGCCGCGGUAAUACGUAGGUGGCAAGCGUUGUCCGGAAUUAUUGGGCGUAAAGCGCGCGCAGGUGGUUCCUUAAGUCUGAUGUGAAAGCCCACGGCUCAACCGUGGAGGGUCAUUGGAAACUGGGGAACUUGAGUGCAGAAGAGGAAAGUGGAAUUCCAAGUGUAGCGGUGAAAUGCGUAGAGAUUUGGAGGAACACCAGUGGCGAAGGCGACUUUCUGGUCUGUAACUGACACUGAGGCGCGAAAGCGUGGGGAGCGAACAGGAUUAGAUACCCUGGUAGUCCACGCCGUAAACGAUGAGUGCUAAGUGUUAGAGGGUUUCCGCCCUUUAGUGCUGCAGCAAACGCAUUAAGCACUCCGCCUGGGGAGUACGACCGCAAGGUUGAAACUCAAAGGAAUUGACGGGGGCCCGCACAAGCGGUGGAGCAUGUGGUUUAAUUCGAAGCAACGCGAAGAACCUUACCAGGUCUUGACAUCCUCUGACACUCCUAGAGAUAGGACGUUCCCCUUCGGGGGACAGAGUGACAGGUGGUGCAUGGUUGUCGUCAGCUCGUGUCGUGAGAUGUUGGGUUAAGUCCCGCAACGAGCGCAACCCUUGAUCUUAGUUGCCAGCAUUCAGUUGGGCACUCUAAGGUGACUGCCGGUGACAAACCGGAGGAAGGUGGGGAUGACGUCAAAUCAUCAUGCCCCUUAUGACCUGGGCUACACACGUGCUACAAUGGAUGGUACAAAGGGCUGCAAGACCGCGAGGUUUAGCCAAUCCCAUAAAACCAUUCUCAGUUCGGAUUGCAGGCUGCAACUCGCCUGCAUGAAGCCGGAAUCGCUAGUAAUCGCGGAUCAGCAUG
Molecule: ribosomal RNA, 1337 nt
Filed under: Bacillus sp. SGE68(2010)
Lineage: Bacteria; Bacillati; Bacillota; Bacilli; Caryophanales; Bacillaceae
Description: bacterial SSU rRNA
Rfam family: Bacterial small subunit ribosomal RNA
Source: RNAcentral